UAAUACUGGAUAGGCAAUUAUUCCUGUAAUGGUUUUUUGUUUAAAUGUUUUUUCGCCUAAGGAUGGGUCUGCGGCCGAUUAGGUAGUUGGUUAGGUAAUGGCUUACCAAGCCUUUGAUCGGUACGGGUUGUGAGAGCAAGAGCCCGGAGAUGGAACCUGAGACAAGGUUCCAGGCCCUACGGGGUGCAGCAGGCGCGAAACCUCCGCAAUGUGAGAAAUCGCGACGGGGGGAUCCCAAGUGUCAUUCUUAACGGGAUGGCUUUUCUUUAGUGUAAGAAGCUUUUGGAAUAAGAGCUGGGCAAGACCGGUGCCAGCCGCCGCGGUAACACCGGCAGCUCUAGUGGUAGCAAUUUUUAUUGGGCCUAAAGCGUCCGUAGCCGGUUUAAUAAGUCUCUGGUGAAAUCCUGUAGCUUAACUGUGGGAAUUGCUGGAGAUACUAUUAGACUUGAGACCGGGAGAGGUUAGAGGUACUCCCAGGGUAGAGGUGAAAUUCUGUAAUCCUGGGAGGACCGCCUGUUGCGAAGGCGUCUAACUGGAACGGUUCUGACGGUGAGGGACGAAAGUUAGGGGCGCGAACCGGAUUAGAUACCCGGGUAGUCCUAACUGUAAACGAUGCGGACUUGGUGUUG
This 629-nucleotide ribosomal RNA is filed under the name uncultured archaeon. RNAcentral describes it as "bacterial SSU rRNA". It matches the Rfam family "Archaeal small subunit ribosomal RNA", at positions 147 to 776 of the family's 1478-position model. The record is from RNAcentral.